Molecule: long non-coding RNA, 319 nt
Filed under: Gossypium barbadense (sea-island cotton)
Lineage: Eukaryota; Viridiplantae; Streptophyta; Magnoliopsida; Malvales; Malvaceae
Description: long non-coding RNA (GBAR_LNC015342)
Source: RNAcentral
AGCUGUCCAACCAUAAACUGUAUUGUUGAAAUCGAACAGGAUCUCAUUUCAAAUGUAUAUACAUAUAGAAAAAGGUAUACAGGAAAUCAGAUAUAAGCUUUAAAGUAACCUCCAGAAAUUAGCAGUAGGUGCAUGAAAGACUGACCAAUUCAAAACAAAGAAUUCACAUAAUGGUUCAGAAAGUGACUUCAAAAUUGAUCCUAUAUUCAUCAUUUGUUAUCUCCAAUGCAUUGAGGUAAAAAUUGAUCCUAUAUUUGAUCUUUUGCUAUCUCCAAGGCAUUGAGGUCAUUUCAAUCAUCACAUAAGACUUGUGCUGACU